RNAcentral lists this ribosomal RNA (433 nucleotides) under uncultured bacterium. RNAcentral describes it as "partial 16S ribosomal RNA". It matches the Rfam family "Bacterial small subunit ribosomal RNA", at positions 29 to 507 of the family's 1533-position model. The record is from RNAcentral.
AACGAACGCUGGCGGCAUGCCUAACACAUGCAAGUCGAACGAGACCUUCGGGUCUAGUGGCGCACGGGUGCGUAACGCGUGGGAACCUGCCCUUAGGUUCGGAAUAACUCCCCGAAAGGGGUGCUAAUACCGGAUAAUGUCUUCGGACCAAAGAUUUAUCGCCUUUGGAUGGGCCCGCGUUGGAUUAGCUAGUUGGUAGGGUAAAAGCCUACCAAGGCGACGAUCCAUAGCUGGUCUGAGAGGAUGAGCAGCCACACUGGGACUGAGACACGGCCCAGACUCCUACGCGAGGCAGCAGUGGGGAAUAUUGGACAAUGGGCGAAAGCCUGAUCCAGCAAUGCCGCGUGAGUGAUGAAGGCCGUAGGGUUGUAAAGCUCGUUUACCCGGGAUGAUAAUGACAGUACCGGGAGAAUAAGCUCCGGCUAACUCCGUG